GACGAACGCUGGCGGCGUGCUUAACACAUGCAAGUCGAACGGAAAGGCCCUACUGUUGUUGGCUACUCGAUUGGCGAACGGUUGCGUACCACGUAGGUACCCUUCCCUUAACUUUGGGAUAACUUCAGGAAACUAGGGCUAAUAACAGCUAAGAGCUCCUGCUGCUUGGUGGUGGUUGGAAAGUUGCGGCGGUUGGGGAUGGAGUCGCGGCUUAUGAGCUUGUUGGUGGGGUAGUGGCUUACACAGGCUACGACGGGUAGCCGGCCUGAGAGGGUGACAGGCCACAGUGGGACUGAGGAACGGCCCAUACGCCUACGGGAGGAAGGAGUGGGGAAUUGUGCAAGAUGGGCGGAGGGAUUAUGCAGCAUCGCCGGGUGCGGGAUGACGGCCGUAGGGGUGGAAAGCGUGUUCGCCUGUGAAGAAGAGUGAGUGACGGUAAUGGGUAAAGAAGCACCGGCUAACUACGUG
RNAcentral lists this ribosomal RNA (468 nucleotides) under uncultured bacterium. Its description in RNAcentral is "partial 16S ribosomal RNA". It matches the Rfam family "Bacterial small subunit ribosomal RNA", at positions 28 to 507 of the family's 1533-position model. The record is from RNAcentral.